GAAGCCUUUGCACCCCGAAAGGGGCAAGCUCCGCGACUAUAAAAAAGGAGAUUUACAGCAGGUAGUCCUAGUGACUGCAACACAAUCGAAUUGCGGGAAUGUCCUAAAGCUCUCCAGUACUAACUCGUCAUGGAAACAUGGCGAGGGCCCGCGUUAAUCGCGUGGGGGAUGGUCACAAUCUGUGUGAGAUAUUACAAUGGACUAUUCGCAGCGAAGCCCCUAACGGUACAUGCCUACGGGGAACGUUCACAGACUAAGUGGUUGUGGGUACAGAGCCUGUACCUAAGAUAUAGUCGGGCCAUUAAGGAGACUUAGUGGGGUGUUUCGCACCAAACCGUUCCGUAGGUGAACCUGCGGAAGGAUCAUUACAGAGUUCAUGCCCUAACGGGUAGACCUCCCACCCUUGUGUGUUUAUACUUCGUUGCUUUGGCGGAUUGCUGAGGACGUCAAGUCUAAGGCCUCAGGCUUUCGAGUCUGUAGAGUCGUUCGCCGAAGGAAACCUAAACUCUGAAUGUUAAUGUCGUCUGAGUACUAUAUAAUAGUUAAAACUUUCAACAACGGAUCUCUUGGUUCUGGCAUCGAUGAAGAACGCAGCGAAAUGCGAUAAGUAAUGUGAAUUGCAGAAUUCAGUGAAUCAUCGAAUCUUUGAACGCACAUUGCGCCCCUUGGUAUUCCGGGGGGCAUGCCUGUUCGAGCGUCAUUUCAACCCUCAAGCUUAGCUUGGGUAUUGGAUCCUGUCCGUCAAACGACAGGUCUUAAAAUCAGUGGCGGCGCCGUUGGGUCCUGAACGUAGUAAUAUAUUUCGUUACAGGUGCCUCGCGUGCUUCUGCCAUUAAACCCCCAAU
RNAcentral lists this ribosomal RNA (845 nucleotides) under Lanzia sp. 5 TNSF-40144. RNAcentral's name for it is "eukaryotic LSU rRNA". The stretch from base 547 to 700 matches the Rfam family "5.8S ribosomal RNA". Lineage: Eukaryota; Fungi; Ascomycota; Leotiomycetes; Helotiales; Rutstroemiaceae. The record is from RNAcentral.